This is a long non-coding RNA of Syngnathus acus (greater pipefish), 532 nucleotides long. RefSeq lists it as uncharacterized. NCBI's taxonomy places the organism in Eukaryota, Metazoa, Chordata, Actinopteri, Syngnathiformes, Syngnathidae. The record is from RefSeq and is a predicted model, not a curated record. The transcript is spliced from 2 exons.
UGCCACGAAUCAAACUAGCGACAAAUACAGAUUUAAAAAUACGGCAUCGGGAAGGGGCAUUGAACGCAGCAUGUGAGCAAACACACCGCCCACCCGCCCUUGGUCGUGCUGCGUUCACAUGUAAAUCGGAACUGCAGCUUUUCUCUGUGAGACCGCAACAGGAACGCAUUUCUAAAAUAUCGGGUCUAACGUAAGUCCUUGUAGUUGUUGUUACAAAGUUUGGAAAAUAACAGUUUAUAUGGAAAUUAAAGUAGAGCAGUUCAGAAGAAGGAUGGAUGUACAUAGCUGUACCUACUUAAAUGUGUCAAAGCCGAAACACGUUUACGCGUGCGACGCGUUUCAUGUUCGUGAUGUAGAUUGACGAGUGUUUUUCUUCAAACGGCCGUUUGGUCACUUGACGGCUCGGUUGUGACGCCACGGGCAGCCAAUAUUCCGAGGUAGCGGGAACGCGACAUUACUCACACCAAAACCAAAUGUCUGCGUGGCUUCGUCAAUCCUCGAGUGUAACCAAGUAAAGCAGCUACCAGUGAAC